CCCGCACAGGCGGUGGAGCAUGUGGUUUAAUUCGAUGAUACGCGAGGAACCUUACCUGGGCUCAAAUGUAUGUUGACGUAUUCUGAAAGGGAUACUUCUUCGGACAAUAUACAAGGUGCUGCAUGGUUGUCGUCAGCUCGUGCCGUGAGGUGUCGGGUUAAGUCCCAUAACGAGCGCAACCCCUAUCAUUAGUUGCCAUCAGGUCAAGCUGGGGACUCUAAUGAAACUGCCUACGCAAGUAGUGAGGAAGGCGGGGAUGACGUCAAAUCAGCACGGCCCUUACGUCCAGGGCUACACACGUGCUACAAUGGCCGAUACAGAGGGCAGCUACCUGGUGACAGGAUGCAAAUCUCCAAAGUCGGUCUCAGUUCGGAUCGGAGUCUGCAACCCGACUCCGUGAAGUUGGAUUCGCUAGUAAUCGCGCAUCAGCCAUGGCGCGGUGAAUACGUUCCCGGGCCUU
Molecule: ribosomal RNA, 460 nt
Filed under: uncultured Sphingobacteriales bacterium
Lineage: Bacteria; Pseudomonadati; Bacteroidota; Sphingobacteriia; Sphingobacteriales
Description: bacterial SSU rRNA
Rfam family: Bacterial small subunit ribosomal RNA
Source: RNAcentral